GUCUGUGUUGUCAUGGAGACUUCUGGUCUCCUAGCUGCCAAUGUCCUCUUAAAAGGCAGUGUGAAGAUUCUACCGGCUGCCCUGCUCUGCAUGGUUGAAGGACAGCCCCUAAAGUGCGGGCCACUGGGGACCCUGCAUUAAUACCACUGAAUGACACGUGGGAGGUUUCCAGCUCUCUUUCGAGGAUUCUGACUAAUCGUGGGGUGCUGCCCGUGGAACGAAAGAAUUCCAGGC
Long non-coding RNA from Suricata suricatta (meerkat), 234 nucleotides. RefSeq lists it as uncharacterized. The transcript has 3 exons. The record is from RefSeq and is a predicted model, not a curated record. Lineage: Eukaryota; Metazoa; Chordata; Mammalia; Carnivora; Herpestidae.